CUGAAAUGUAAUGAUUUCUUUGUGUAACGCUCCUAUAGUAACAGUAAUGGGUAAUUAGAGGUUGAGAGAGAGGUCUCCCAUCACUGGCCUCGACGACCAGGGGUGAUGAUCUCUCCUUGAUGAGUGGGCACUCCAAAGUAUUGACCCUUUUACAAAUACGUAGCGGGCAGUUUAUAUAUUUUUAGUUAUUGUAAGUUAAAGAUGCUGAGGAAGAUCAGGCGAAGGAGGCUUCUAAAAUUCUG
Molecule: non-coding RNA, 242 nt
Organism: Pelobates cultripes (western spadefoot toad)
Lineage: Eukaryota; Metazoa; Chordata; Amphibia; Anura; Pelobatidae
Source: the annotation of a GenBank genome assembly